GAUGAACGCUGGCGGCGUGCCUAAUACAUGCAAGUCGAGCGAACGGACGAGAAGCUUGCUUCUCUGAUGUUAGCGGCGGACGGGUGAGUAACACGUGGAUAACCUACCUAUAAGACUGGGAUAACCUCGGGAAACCGGAGCUAAUACCGGAUAAUAUUUUGAACCGCAUGGUUCAAAAGUGAAAGACGGUCUUGCUGUCACUUAUAGAUGGAUCCGCGCUGCAUUAGCUAGUUGGUAAGGUAACGGCUUACCAAGGCAACGAUGCAUAGCCGACCUGAGAGGGUGAUCGGCCACACUGGAACUGAGACACGGUCCAGACUCCUACGGGAGGCAGCAGUAGGGAAUCUUCCGCAAUGGGCGAAAGCCUGACGGAGCAACGCCGCGUGAGUGAUGAAGGUCUUCGGAUCGUAAAACUCUGUUAUUAGGGAAGAACAUAUGUGUAAGUAACUGUGCACAUCUUGACGGUACCUAAUCAGAAAGCCCCGGCUAACUACGUGCCAGCAGCCGCGGGUAUACGUAGGUGGCAAGCGUUAUCCGGGAUUAUUGGGCGUAAAGCGCGCGUAAGCGGUUUUUUUAAGUCUGAUGUGAAAGCCCACGGCUCAACCGUGGAGGGUCAUUGGAAACUGGAAAACUUGAGUGCAGAAGAGGAAAGUGGAAUUCCAUGUGUAGCGGUGAAAUGCGCAGAGAUAUGGAGGAACACCAGUGGCGAAGGCGACUUUCUGGUCUGUAACUGACGCUGAUGUGCGAAAGCGUGGGGAUCAAACAGGAUUAGAUACCCUGGUAGUCCACGCCGUAAACGAUGAGUGCUAAGUGUUAGGGGGUUUCCGCCCCUUAGUGCUGCAGCUAACGCAUUAAGCACUCCGCCUGGGGAGUACGACCGCAAGGUUGAAACUCAAAGGAAUUGACGGGGACCCGCACAAGCGGUGGAGCAUGUGGUUUAAUUCGAAGCAACGCGAAGAACCUUACCAAAUCUUGACAUCCUUUGACAACUCUAGAGAUAGAGCUUUCCCCUUCGGGGGACAAAGUGACAGGUGGUGCAUGGUUGUCGUCAGCUCGUGUCGUGAGAUGUUGGGUUAAGUCCCGCAACGAGCGCAACCCUUAAGCUUAGUUGCCAUCAUUAAGUUGGGCACUCUAAGUUGACUGCCGGUGACAAACCGGAGGAAGGUGGGGAUGACGUCAAAUCAUCAUGCCCCUUAUGAUUUGGGCUACACACGUGCUACAAUGGACAAUACAAAGGGCAGCGAAACCGUGAGGUCGAGCAAAUCCCAUAAAGUUGUUCUCAGUUCGGAUUGUAGUCUGCAACUCGACUACAUGAAGCUGGAAUCGCUAGUAAUCGUAGAUCAGCAUGCUACGGUGAAUACGUUCCCGGGUCU
This 1373-nucleotide ribosomal RNA is filed under the name uncultured bacterium. RNAcentral's name for it is "bacterial SSU rRNA". It matches the Rfam family "Bacterial small subunit ribosomal RNA", at positions 28 to 1381 of the family's 1533-position model. The record is from RNAcentral.